Molecule: unclassified non-coding RNA, 378 nt
Filed under: plant metagenome
Description: partial contains 5.8S ribosomal RNA, internal transcribed spacer 2, and large subunit ribosomal RNA
Rfam family: 5.8S ribosomal RNA (bases 1-105)
Source: RNAcentral
GAAAUGCGAUAAGUAAUGUGAAUUACAGAAUUCAGUGAAUCAUCGAAUCUUUGAACGCACCCUGCGCUCCUUGGUAUUCCUUGGAGCAUGCCUGUUUGAGUAUCAUGAAAUCUUCAAAGUAAAUCUUUUGUUAACUCAAUUGGUUUCUACUUUGGUAUUGGAGGUCUUUGCAGCUUCACACCUGCUCCUCUUUGUUCAUUAGCUGGAUCUCAGUGUUAUGCUUGGUUCCACUCGGCGUGAUAAGUUAUCUAUCGCUGAGGACACUGUAAAAGGUGGCCAAGGUAAAUGCAGAUGAACCGCUUCUAAUAGUCCAUUGACUUGGACAAUACUUUUAUGAUCUGAUCUCAAAUCAGGUAGGACUACCCGCUGAACUUAAGC